Molecule: ribosomal RNA, 358 nt
Filed under: Chamaedrilus glandulosus
Lineage: Eukaryota; Metazoa; Annelida; Clitellata; Enchytraeida; Enchytraeidae
Description: partial 12S ribosomal RNA
Rfam family: Bacterial small subunit ribosomal RNA
Source: RNAcentral
AUGACAUAAACAAAAGCCGGAUAAUAAAAACAAUAGUUUAAAAUUCAAACAGUUUGGCGGUGUCUUAUAUAAUCAGGGGAACCUGUCUCUUAAUUCGAUGAUCCACGUAAUAAACCUUAUUUAGCAUUCAGCCUGUGUACUGCUGUCGUCAGUAAACCUCUAUAAGAGUUUACAAACAUGAAAAACAAUUACGUCAAGUCAAAGUGCAGCCGAUAAUAAGGUGAUGAUGGGUUACAAUCUAUAAACAGAUUACUUAAAUAUAUAUUAAUUAUAUAAAAAAAGGUGGACUUGAUAGUAAUAACUAUUCAUGUUAUGAAAUAGAAUCUAAGACAUGCACACAUCGCCCGUCACUCUCGUC